Molecule: unclassified non-coding RNA, 346 nt
Filed under: soil metagenome
Description: partial contains 5.8S ribosomal RNA, internal transcribed spacer 2, and large subunit ribosomal RNA
Rfam family: 5.8S ribosomal RNA (bases 1-120)
Source: RNAcentral
GAUGAAGAACGUAGCGAAAUGCGAUACGUAAUGUGAAUUGCAGAAUUCAGUGAAUCAUCGAGUCUUUGAACGCACAUUGCGCCCCCUGGUAUUCCGGGGGGCAUGCCUGUCCGAGCGUCAUUGCUGCCCUCAAGCCCGGCUUGUGUGUUGGGUCUCGUCCCCAUUCCCGGGGGGACGGGCCCGAAAGGCAGCGGCGGCACCGCGUCCGGUCCUCGAGCGUAUGGGGCUUUGUCACCCGCUCUGUAGGCCCGGCCGGCGCUUGCCGAUCAACCAAAACUUUUUUCCAGGUUGACCUCGGAUCAGGUAGGGAUACCCGCUGAACUUAAGCAUAUCAAUAAGCGGAGGA